CGUGCUUGCUAGAGGUGUCGCCUGCGGGUGACUGAGACAUACUCUUUGAACCUGAUCUGGGUCGUACCAGCGUAGGGAAGCUUCAUUUUUUCCUU
This 95-nucleotide non-coding RNA is filed under the name Rhodoferax ferrireducens. RNAcentral describes it as "TPP sequence". It matches the Rfam family "TPP riboswitch aptamer (THI element)". Rfam says of the family: Vitamin B(1) in its active form thiamin pyrophosphate (TPP) is an essential coenzyme that is synthesised by coupling of pyrimidine and thiazole moieties in bacteria. The previously detected thiamin-regulatory element, thi box was extended, resulting in a new, highly conserved RNA secondary structure, the THI element, which is widely distributed in eubacteria and also occurs in some archaea. RNAcentral also lists the same sequence under 1 other name. Lineage: Bacteria; Pseudomonadati; Pseudomonadota; Betaproteobacteria; Burkholderiales; Comamonadaceae. The record is from RNAcentral.